RNAcentral lists this small RNA (18 nucleotides) under Arabidopsis thaliana (thale cress). RNAcentral's name for it is "ATSL283630". The record is from RNAcentral. Lineage: Eukaryota; Viridiplantae; Streptophyta; Magnoliopsida; Brassicales; Brassicaceae.
AUUAAAAUUUGAAGAAAC